This 253-nucleotide ribosomal RNA is filed under the name uncultured bacterium. RNAcentral's name for it is "partial 16S ribosomal RNA". It matches the Rfam family "Bacterial small subunit ribosomal RNA", at positions 524 to 776 of the family's 1533-position model. The record is from RNAcentral.
GACGGAGGGGGCUAGCGUUGUUCGGAAUUACUGGGCGUAAAGGGCGCGUAGGCGGUAUAGCAAGUCAGAAGUGAAAGCCCUAGGCUUAACCUAGGAACUGCUUUUGAAACUGCUAGGCUAGAGUACUGGAGGGGGUAAUGGAAUUCCUAGUGUAGAAGUGAAAUUCUUAGAUAUUAGGAGGAACGCCGGAGGCGAAGGCGAUUACCUGGACAGAUACUGACGCUGAGGCGCGAAAGCGUGGGGAGCAAACAGG